UCCUUGUUAGUAUAGUGGUGAGUAUCCCCGCCUGUCACGCGGGAGACCGGGGUUCAAUUCCCCGACAGGGAG
This 72-nucleotide transfer RNA is filed under the name Capitella teleta. Its description in RNAcentral is "tRNA-Asp for anticodon GUC". It matches the Rfam family "tRNA". From Rfam's summary of the family: Transfer RNA (tRNA) molecules are approximately 80 nucleotides in length. Their secondary structure includes four short double-helical elements and three loops (D, anti-codon, and T loops). Further hydrogen bonds mediate the characteristic L-shaped molecular structure. tRNAs have two regions of fundamental functional importance: the anti-codon, which is responsible for specific mRNA codon recognition, and the 3' end, to which the tRNAs corresponding amino acid is attached (by aminoacyl-tRNA synthetases). tRNAs cope with the degeneracy of the genetic code in two manners: having more than one tRNA (with a specific anti-codon) for a particular amino acid; and 'wobble' base-pairing, i.e. permitting non-standard base-pairing at the 3rd anti-codon position. Lineage: Eukaryota; Metazoa; Annelida; Polychaeta; Capitellidae. The record is from Rfam by way of RNAcentral.